GAUGAACGCUGGCGGCGUGCCUAAUACAUGCAAGUCGAGCGAACAGACGAGGAGCUUGUUCCUCUGAGGUUAGCGGCGGACGGGUGAGUAACACGUGGAUAACCUACCUAUAAGACUGGGAUAACUUCGGGAAACAGGUGCUAAUACUGCCUCAUAUAUUGAACCGCAUGGAUCAAUAGUGAAAGACGGCUUUGCUGUCACUUAUAGAUGGAUCCGCGUCGCAUUAGCUAGUUGGUAAGGUAACGGCUUACCAAGGCAACGAUGCGUAGCUGACCUGAGAGGAUGAUCGGCCACACUGGAACUGAGACACGGUCCAGACUCCUACGGGAGGCAGCAGUAGGGAAUCUUCGACAAUGGGCGAAAGCUUGAUGGAGCAACACCGCGUGGGUGAUGAAGGUCUUCGGGUCGUAAAACCCUGUUGUUGGGAAAGAACAAAUGUAGAAUUAACUAUGCACGUCUUGACGGUACCUAAACAGAAAGCCACGGCUAACUACGUG
This 497-nucleotide ribosomal RNA is filed under the name uncultured bacterium. RNAcentral's name for it is "partial 16S ribosomal RNA". It matches the Rfam family "Bacterial small subunit ribosomal RNA", at positions 28 to 507 of the family's 1533-position model. The record is from RNAcentral.